UACGGAGGGGGCUAGCGUUGCUCGGAAUCACUGGGCGUAAAGCGCACGUAGGCGGGUCGUUAAGUCAGGGGUGAAAUCCCAGAGCUCAACUCUGGAACUGCCUUUGAUACUGGCGACCUAGAGUUCGGAAGAGGUUAGUGGAAUUCCCAGUGUAGAGGUGAAAUUCGUAGAUAUUGGGAAGAACACCAGUGGCGAAGGCGGCUAACUGGUCCGAUACUGACGCUGAGGUGCGAAAGCGUGGGGAGCAAACAGG
Molecule: ribosomal RNA, 253 nt
Filed under: uncultured bacterium
Lineage: Bacteria
Description: partial 16S ribosomal RNA
Rfam family: Bacterial small subunit ribosomal RNA
Source: RNAcentral